GGGCAGCACGAUAAAGCUUGCUUUAUUGGUGGCGACCGGCGCACGGGUGCGUAACGCGUAUGCAACCUACCUUAUACUGGGGUAUAGCCCGGAGAAAUUCGGAUUAAUCCCCCAUAGUAUUAUUAGAUCGCAUGAUUUGAUAAUUAAAGGUUACGGUAUAAGAUGGGCAUGCGUCCUAUUAGCUAGAUGGUGAGGUAACGGCUCACCAUGGCGACGAUAGGUAGGGGGCCUGAGAGGGUGGUCCCCCACACUGGUACUGAGACACGGACCAGACUCCUACGGGAGGCAGCAGUGAGGAAUAUUGGUCAAUGGGCGCAAGCCUGAACCAGCCAUGCCGCGUGCAGGAAGACGGUCCUAUGGAUUGUAAACUGCUUUUAUUCGGGAAUAAACCUCCUUACGUGUAGGGAGCUGAAGGUACCGAAUGAAUAAGCACCGGCUAACUCCGUGCCAGCAGCCGCGGUAAUACGGAGGGUGCAAGCGUUAUCCGGAAUCAUUGGGUUUAAAGGGUCCGCAGGCGGUCUUAUAAGUCAGUGGUGAAAGCCUACAGCUCAACUGUAGAACUGCCAUUGAUACUGUAGGACUUGAAUUCGGUCGAAGUGGGCGGAAUAUGACAUGUAGCGGUGAAAUGCUUAGAUAUGUCAUAGAACACCGAUAGCGAAGGCAGCUCACUAGGCCUGGAUUGACGCUCAGGGACGAAAGCGUGGGGAGCAAACAGGAUUAGAUACCCCUGGUAGUCCACGCCGUAAACUAUG
Molecule: ribosomal RNA, 752 nt
Filed under: Fluviicola hefeinensis
Lineage: Bacteria; Pseudomonadati; Bacteroidota; Flavobacteriia; Flavobacteriales; Crocinitomicaceae
Description: bacterial SSU rRNA
Rfam family: Bacterial small subunit ribosomal RNA
Source: RNAcentral